RNAcentral lists this ribosomal RNA (301 nucleotides) under uncultured bacterium. RNAcentral's name for it is "partial 16S ribosomal RNA". It matches the Rfam family "Bacterial small subunit ribosomal RNA", at positions 509 to 807 of the family's 1533-position model. The record is from RNAcentral.
CAGCAGCCGCGGGAAAACGUAGGGUGCAAGCGUUAAUCGGAAUUACUGGGCGUAAAGCGUGCGCAGGCGGUUAUAUAAGACAGAUGUGAAAUCCCCCGGCUCAACCUGGGAACUGCAUUUGUGACUGUAUAGCUAGAGUACGGCAGAGGGGGAUGGAAUUCCGCGUGUAGCAGUGAAAUGCGUAGAUAUGCGGAGGAACACCGAUGGCGAAAGCAAUCUCCUGGGCCUAUACUGACGCUGAUGCACGAAAGCUUGGGGAGCAAACAGGAUUAGAUACCCGCGUAGUCCCUGUCUCUUAUAC